RNAcentral lists this long non-coding RNA (758 nucleotides) under Numida meleagris (helmeted guineafowl). RNAcentral describes it as "lncRNA (ENSNMEG00000008485.1)". The record is from RNAcentral. Lineage: Eukaryota; Metazoa; Chordata; Aves; Galliformes; Numididae.
CAGAAUUGCAGGCUUUGUACUGAGGAUGUAUUUUGUGUCCCGCCUUCCCACCUGAGGACGUCUGACCAGGUUACUUUGCCAGAAGCCCCCUCAGAGAACUUUACUACCAAGGAUGAUGUAUGAGCUGGAGACAACGGCUUUACUGUCCAAUGCCCACACUGAGUUCACUGCAUGGGCAGGACCAUGUGGAAUUCAUCAGCACUGUGAAGCCCUGGAGGUAUGCAGAAACCAUGUUAUUAAUGCUAUUAGUGCUAAUUAAUUCUGCCAACAAGGCCUCUGCAACCAGUCAAGACAUUGGUCUUUGCCAAAACCAACAGAUUAAAUAAAUUUAAAGUUCUUGGACAAGCAAUUCUGCAGUUAUAAUGAGCCAAAAGGAAGGUUAGGGGAACUCUGAGAAAAUGAGGUAAUUUUUGAACAUUCAUGCAACAUAAAUGCUUUGUAUGCUUUGCUUCAAAUUUGCUAUGCAUUUUCAGAUGGGUUCAUUUCAGUUCGUAUGUAUCUGCAGAGGAUUAGUUAGCUAUUUGAUGAAUAGUUGCUAUAAGAGAACAGUGACAAAAUUCAUAUCUUCAUGAUACAAAUCAUACUUUAGUUUUGAACGUAUUGCAGUACAUUACAGUAAAAUAAUACCAGUUCUCUAAAGAUGCGGGUUUCUAAGAAAUAAUUAUAUGGAAGUUUGUAUAGUGUUACAUGUAUAAUGUAUGUACCGUGAACACAUUAGAUGAGGAAACACAUAAUAAAAUCAUUCAGUUAUAAGUACA